GGAUGAUUGGGCUGAAGUCGUAACAAGGUAGCUGUAGAUGAACCUGCAGAAGGAUCA
Molecule: ribosomal RNA, 57 nt
Filed under: uncultured eukaryote
Lineage: Eukaryota
Description: partial small subunit ribosomal RNA
Source: RNAcentral